GAUGAACGCUGGCGGCGUGCCUAAUACAUGCAAGUCGAGCGAACAGACGAGGAGCUUGCUCCUCUGACGUUAGCGGCGGACGGGUGAGUAACACGUGGAUAACCUACCUAUAAGACUGGGAUAACUUCGGGAAACCGGAGCUAAUACCGGAUAAUAUAUUGAACCGCAUGGUUCAAUAGUGAAAGACGGUUUUGCUGUCACUUAUAGAUGGAUCCGCGCCGCAUUAGCUAGUUGGUAAGGUAACGGCUUACCAAGGCAACGAUGCGUAGCCGACCUGAGAGGGUGAUCGGCCACAUUGGAACUGAGACACGGUCCAGACUCCAACGGGAGGCAGCAGUAGGGAAUCUUCCGCAAUGGGCGAAAGCCUGACGGAGCAACGCCGCGUGAGUGAUGAAGGUCUUCGGAUCGUAAAACUCUGUUAUUAGGGAAGAACAAAUGUGUAAGUAACUAUGCACGUCUUGACGGUACCUAAUCAGAAAGCCACGGCUAACUACGUG
This 497-nucleotide ribosomal RNA is filed under the name uncultured bacterium. Its description in RNAcentral is "partial 16S ribosomal RNA". It matches the Rfam family "Bacterial small subunit ribosomal RNA", at positions 28 to 507 of the family's 1533-position model. The record is from RNAcentral.